GGGGUUGUGGCUCAGUGGUAGAGUGCUUGCCUAGCAUGUGUGAGGCUCUGGGUUCAAUUCUCAGCACCA
RNAcentral lists this transfer RNA (69 nucleotides) under Marmota marmota marmota (Alpine marmot). It matches the Rfam family "tRNA". From Rfam's summary of the family: Transfer RNA (tRNA) molecules are approximately 80 nucleotides in length. Their secondary structure includes four short double-helical elements and three loops (D, anti-codon, and T loops). Further hydrogen bonds mediate the characteristic L-shaped molecular structure. tRNAs have two regions of fundamental functional importance: the anti-codon, which is responsible for specific mRNA codon recognition, and the 3' end, to which the tRNAs corresponding amino acid is attached (by aminoacyl-tRNA synthetases). tRNAs cope with the degeneracy of the genetic code in two manners: having more than one tRNA (with a specific anti-codon) for a particular amino acid; and 'wobble' base-pairing, i.e. permitting non-standard base-pairing at the 3rd anti-codon position. RNAcentral also lists the same sequence under 3 other names. Lineage: Eukaryota; Metazoa; Chordata; Mammalia; Rodentia; Sciuridae. The record is from Rfam by way of RNAcentral.